CCUACGGGAGGCAGCAGUAAGGAAUAUUGGUCAAUGGACGAAAGUCUGAACCAGCCAUGCCGCGUGAAGGAUGACGGCCCUCUGGGUUGUAAACUUCUUUUAUAGGGGACGAAAAAAGGGUAUUCUUACUCACUUGACGGUACCCUAGGAAUAAGCACCGGCUAACUCCGUGCCAGCAGCCGCGGUAAUACGGAGGGUGCAAGCGUUAUCCGGAUUCACUGGGUUUAAAGGGUGCGUAGGUGGGUCUAUAAGUCAGUGGUGAAAUCUCCGAGCUUAACUCGGAAACUGCCAUUGAUACUAUAGGCCUUGAAUUAUCUGGAGGUAAGCGGAAUAUGUCAUGUAGCGGUGAAAUGCUUAGAUAUGACAUAGAACACCAAUUGCGAAGGCAGCUUACUACGGAUAUAUUGACACUGAGGCACGAAAGCGUGGGGAUCAAACAGGAUUAGAUACCCUGGUAGUCCACGCCCUAAACUAUGGAUACUCGACAUCAGCGAUACACUGUUGGUGUCUGAGNGAGANAUAUAUCCACCUGGAGACGACGCGAGUAGAAGUAAGUAAGUAGAGNGNGAGAGNGCGAGACGACGACGAGGGAGGAGG
Molecule: ribosomal RNA, 597 nt
Filed under: uncultured bacterium
Lineage: Bacteria
Description: bacterial SSU rRNA
Rfam family: Bacterial small subunit ribosomal RNA (bases 1-530)
Source: RNAcentral